Molecule: ribosomal RNA, 1435 nt
Filed under: Lactiplantibacillus plantarum
Lineage: Bacteria; Bacillati; Bacillota; Bacilli; Lactobacillales; Lactobacillaceae
Description: bacterial SSU rRNA
Rfam family: Bacterial small subunit ribosomal RNA
Source: RNAcentral
AGUCGAACGAACUCUGGUAUUGAUUGGUGCUUGCAUCAUGAUUUACAUUUGAGUGAGUGGCGAACUGGUGAGUAACACGUGGGAAACCUGCCCAGAAGCGGGGGAUAACACCUGGAAACAGAUGCUAAUACCGCAUAACAACUUGGACCGCAUGGUCCGAGUUUGAAAGAUGGCUUCGGCUAUCACUUUUGGAUGGUCCCGCGGCGUAUUAGCUAGAUGGUGAGGUAACGGCUCACCAUGGCAAUGAUACGUAGCCGACCUGAGAGGGUAAUCGGCCACAUUGGGACUGAGACACGGCCCAAACUCCUACGGGAGGCAGCAGUAGGGAAUCUUCCACAAUGGACGAAAGUCUGAUGGAGCAACGCCGCGUGAGUGAAGAAGGGUUUCGGCUCGUAAAACUCUGUUGUUAAAGAAGAACAUAUCUGAGAGUAACUGUUCAGGUAUUGACGGUAUUUAACCAGAAAGCCACGGCUAACUACGUGCCAGCAGCCGCGGUAAUACGUAGGUGGCAAGCGUUGUCCGGAUUUAUUGGGCGUAAAGCGAGCGCAGGCGGUUUUUUAAGUCUGAUGUGAAAGCCUUCGGCUCAACCGAAGAAGUGCAUCGGAAACUGGGAAACUUGAGUGCAGAAGAGGACAGUGGAACUCCAUGUGUAGCGGUGAAAUGCGUAGAUAUAUGGAAGAACACCAGUGGCGAAGGCGGCUGUCUGGUCUGUAACUGACGCUGAGGCUCGAAAGUAUGGGUAGCAAACAGGAUUAGAUACCCUGGUAGUCCAUACCGUAAACGAUGAAUGCUAAGUGUUGGAGGGUUUCCGCCCUUCAGUGCUGCAGCUAACGCAUUAAGCAUUCCGCCUGGGGAGUACGGCCGCAAGGCUGAAACUCAAAGGAAUUGACGGGGGCCCGCACAAGCGGUGGAGCAUGUGGUUUAAUUCGAAGCUACGCGAAGAACCUUACCAGGUCUUGACAUACUAUGCAAAUCUAAGAGAUUAGACGUUCCCUUCGGGGACAUGGAUACAGGUGGUGCAUGGUUGUCGUCAGCUCGUGUCGUGAGAUGUUGGGUUAAGUCCCGCAACGAGCGCAACCCUUAUUAUCAGUUGCCAGCAUUAAGUUGGGCACUCUGGUGAGACUGCCGGUGACAAACCGGAGGAAGGUGGGGAUGACGUCAAAUCAUCAUGCCCCUUAUGACCUGGGCUACACACGUGCUACAAUGGAUGGUACAACGAGUUGCGAACUCGCGAGAGUAAGCUAAUCUCUUAAAGCCAUUCUCAGUUCGGAUUGUAGGCUGCAACUCGCCUACAUGAAGUCGGAAUCGCUAGUAAUCGCGGAUCAGCAUGCCGCGGUGAAUACGUUCCCGGGCCUUGUACACACCGCCCGUCACACCAUGAGAGUUUGUAACACCCAAAGUCGGUGGGGUAACCUUUUAGGAACCAGCCGCCUAA